GUGAGGAAUUUUCCGCAAUGGGCGAAAGCCUGACGGAGCAAUGCCGCGUGAAGGAUGAAGGCCUAUGGGUUGUAAACUUCUUUUCUCAGAAAAGAAUUAUGACGGUAUCUGAGGAAUAAGCAUCGGCUAACUCUGUGCCAGCAGCCGCGGUAAGACAGAGGAUGCAAGCGUUAUCCGGAAUGAUUGGGCGUAAAGCGUCUGUAGGUUGUUUAAAAAGUAUUCUGUCAAAGAUUAGGGCUUAACCCUAGAUAGGCAGAAUAAACUUUUAAGCUAGAGUUUGGUAGAGGCAGAGGGAAUUCCCGGUGGAGCGGUGAAAUGCGUAGAUAUCGGGAGGAACACCAAAGGCGAAGGCACUCUGCUGGGCCAAUACUAACACUGAGAGACGAAAGCGAGGGGAGCAAAUGGGAUUAGAUACUCCGGUAGUCC
This 426-nucleotide ribosomal RNA is filed under the name uncultured bacterium. RNAcentral's name for it is "bacterial SSU rRNA". It matches the Rfam family "Bacterial small subunit ribosomal RNA", at positions 354 to 796 of the family's 1533-position model. The record is from RNAcentral.